Molecule: ribosomal RNA, 266 nt
Filed under: uncultured bacterium
Lineage: Bacteria
Description: partial 16S ribosomal RNA
Rfam family: Bacterial small subunit ribosomal RNA
Source: RNAcentral
GACAGAGGCCUCAAGCGUUAGGCGGAAUCACUGGGCUUAAAGCGUGUGUAGGCGGACGCCUAAGUGUCUUGUGAAAUCCCCCGGCUCACCCGGGGAACUGCUGGGCAUACUGGGCGUCUUGGGCCAACUAGAGGCAACUGGAACAAGCGGUGGAGCGGUGAAAUGCGUAGAUAUCGCUUGGAACGCCGAAGGUGAAAACAGGUUGCUGGGGGUUGUGCCGACGCUGAGACACGAAAGCCAGGGGAGCAAACGAGAUUAGAUACCCC